This 254-nucleotide ribosomal RNA is filed under the name uncultured bacterium. RNAcentral describes it as "partial 16S ribosomal RNA". It matches the Rfam family "Bacterial small subunit ribosomal RNA", at positions 524 to 776 of the family's 1533-position model. The record is from RNAcentral.
UACGUAGGGUGCGAGCGUUGUCCGGAAUUAUUGGGCGUAAAGAGCUUGUAGGCGGUUUGUCGCGUCUGCUGUGAAAUCUCAAGGCUCAACCUUGAGCUUGCAGUGGGUACGGGCAGACUAGAGUGUGGUAGGGGAGACUGGAAUUCCUGGUGUAGCGGUGAAAUGCGCAGAUAUCAGGAGGAACACCGAUGGCGAAGGCAGGUCUCUGGGCCACUACUGACGCUGGAGGAGCGAAAGCGUGGGGAGCGAACAGG